AACGAACGCUGGCGGCAUGCCUAACACAUGCAAGUCGAACGAAGGCUUCGGCCUUAGUGGCGCACGGGUGCGUAACGCGUGGGAAUCUGCCCUUAGGUUCGGAAUAACAGCUGGAAACGGCUGCUAAUACCGGAUGAUAUCGCGAGAUCAAAGAUUUAUCGCCUGAGGAUGAGCCCGCGUUGGAUUAGGUAGUUGGUGGGGUAAAGGCCUACCAAGCCGACGAUCCAUAGCUGGUCUGAGAGGAUGAUCAGCCACACUGGGACUGAGACACGGCCCAGACUCCUACGGGAGGAAGCAGUGGGGAAUAUUGGACAAUGGGCGCAAGCCUGAUCCAGCAAUGCCGCGUGAGUGAUGAAGGCCCUAGGGUUGUAAAGCUCUUUUACCCGGGAAGAUAAUGACUGUACCGGGAGAAAAAGCCCCGGCUAACUCCGUGCCAGCCGCCGCCGUAA
This 449-nucleotide ribosomal RNA is filed under the name uncultured bacterium. Its description in RNAcentral is "partial 16S ribosomal RNA". It matches the Rfam family "Bacterial small subunit ribosomal RNA", at positions 29 to 523 of the family's 1533-position model. The record is from RNAcentral.